Molecule: small nucleolar RNA, 128 nt
Filed under: Castor canadensis (American beaver)
Lineage: Eukaryota; Metazoa; Chordata; Mammalia; Rodentia; Castoridae
Description: Small nucleolar RNA SNORA51 (ENSCCNG00000027167.1)
Rfam family: Small nucleolar RNA SNORA51
About the family: ACA51 is a member of the H/ACA class of snoRNA that guide the sites of modification of uridines to pseudouridines.
Source: Rfam by way of RNAcentral
GACCUUCUGGUGCUUAACCACAGGCUGUGUUCUUAUACUGACUGUAUAGAAAGAGGAAGCAAAGAAAACCUACCCUAUAUACACCUCAGCCAGGCCCUGUGCCUGGUCUGUAUUGUGAACGGGGAUGU